This 159-nucleotide small RNA is filed under the name Paenibacillus sp. RNAcentral's name for it is "c-di-AMP sequence". It matches the Rfam family "c-di-AMP riboswitch aptamer (ydaO/yuaA leader)". Rfam says of the family: This family represents a conserved RNA structure found upstream of the ydaO and yuaA genes in Bacillus subtilis and related genes in other bacteria. The ydaO/yuaA element is thought to act as a genetic "off" switch for the ydaO and yuaA genes in its native state. RNAcentral also lists the same sequence under 1 other name. Lineage: Bacteria; Bacillati; Bacillota; Bacilli; Caryophanales; Paenibacillaceae. The record is from RNAcentral.
GUUGAAUAUGCGCUGAAUUUUCUUAGGAAAAACGGGGGAACCAAACUUGGCAUAUGUGCCAAUGGGGUGAAUCGGAAUGGGUCGAUUAGACUUAUACCGUAGGGCUAAACCACAGCCCGAAUCCGCCAGCUAACCUCGUAAGCAAAGGUGGGAUAAUGA